CAGCAGCCGCGGUAAUACGUAGGGUGCAAGCGUUAAUCGGAAUUACUGGGCGUAAAGCGUGCGCAGGCGGUUCGCUAAGACAGAUGCGAAAUCCCCGGGCUUAACCUGGGAACUGCAUUUGUGACUGGCGGGCUAGAGUAUGGCAGAGGGGGGUGGAAUUCCGCGUGUAGCAGUGAAAUGCGUAGAUAUGCGGAGGAACACCGAUGGCGAAGGCAGCCCCCUGGGCCAACACUGACGCUCAUGCACGAAAGCGUGGGGAGCAAACAGGAUUAGAGACCCCAGUAGUCCCUGUCUCUUAUAC
This 301-nucleotide ribosomal RNA is filed under the name uncultured bacterium. Its description in RNAcentral is "partial 16S ribosomal RNA". It matches the Rfam family "Bacterial small subunit ribosomal RNA", at positions 509 to 807 of the family's 1533-position model. The record is from RNAcentral.